UUGCAAUGAUGUGUGAAUUUCUUCACCUGACCAAAUUAUGAAGAUCACAUCACAAACGAGCUUUUUAAAUCUGAGCAAA
This is a small nucleolar RNA of Ylistrum balloti, 79 nucleotides long. The record is from RefSeq and is a predicted model, not a curated record. NCBI's taxonomy places the organism in Eukaryota, Metazoa, Mollusca, Bivalvia, Pectinida, Pectinidae.